Molecule: unclassified non-coding RNA, 328 nt
Organism: Cyanistes caeruleus (blue tit)
Lineage: Eukaryota; Metazoa; Chordata; Aves; Passeriformes; Paridae
Gene: 7SK
Rfam family: 7SK RNA
About the family: 7SK was discovered as an abundant small nuclear RNA in the mid-70s but a possible function has only recently been suggested. Two independent studies have found that 7SK RNA binds the CDK9/cyclin T complex (known as elongation factor P-TEFb).
Source: Ensembl
GGAUAUGAGGGUGAUCUGGCUGUGGGAUCUGAUAUGCCAUGGGUUGCAUGGGUUGGUCUGACUGAUCUGGCUAGCUUAGGCAGGUGUUCCCUUUCUUCCUUGACAUUCCAUGUGUGUUCUUCCUGGUGUUGUGUGCUUGAACAAUGAGGACAGCCUCCCCAAUAAUACUGGUCACUGGUCAAGGGUGAGUGGUAGCUGCGUUCCCCUGCUGGAAGCCCUAAGUAAGCUCAAUGUCCAUUUGAAGAUGAGUGCAGGGUGGUCAACAUCCAAUACUGAAGACAUAUCCAAAUGAGAAUUUGCACACAACAGUCUGCCAGUGGCUUCUUUU